RNAcentral lists this transfer RNA (83 nucleotides) under Micromonospora sp. NBRC 107095. RNAcentral's name for it is "tRNA-Ala". The record is from RNAcentral. Lineage: Bacteria; Bacillati; Actinomycetota; Actinomycetes; Micromonosporales; Micromonosporaceae.
GGCGGGUUGGCCCGGUUGGGCCGCGUGGGGCUCGCGCCCUUCCCGACGUUGACCGUCUCCGUGCCGGCCGGGGUGCCCGCCGC